RNAcentral lists this ribosomal RNA (305 nucleotides) under uncultured bacterium. RNAcentral's name for it is "partial 16S ribosomal RNA". It matches the Rfam family "Bacterial small subunit ribosomal RNA", at positions 506 to 809 of the family's 1533-position model. The record is from RNAcentral.
ACAGCAGCAGCCACGGGAAUACGGAGGGGGCUAGCGUUGUUCGGAAUUACUGGGCGUAAAGCGCACGUAGGCGGCUUGGUAAGUUAGAGGUGAAAGCCCGGAGCUCAACUCCGGAAUUGCCUUUAAGACUGCCGAGCUAGUAGGUGAGAGAGGUAAGUGGAAUUCCGAGUGUAGAGGUGAAAUUCGUAGAUAUUCGGAAGAACACCAGUGGCGAAGGCGGCUUACUGGCUCAUUCUAGACGCUGAGGUGCGAAAGCGUGGGGAGCAAACAGGAUUAGAUACCCGUAGUCCCUGUCUCUUAUACAC